ACAAGUAACCUAUUACAGGUUAAGGCUUCAUUUUUUAUGAGUUAUUUGAUUGGAGAUGGAGAAGUGAUUGAUUAGGGAAAAAAAAAGAGAAACAAUAAGUUUCUAAUUGUAUAUAGUUAGUUAUUAGUACAUGUUCAAUCUCAUUUACAUCAGUCUCUCUCCUACGGUUCAACAUGCUACAAUAGGAAUAUGAAAAUGGGGAAAAAAAACUCACUUUUAUUGAGGUCUGUGAAGAGAUGCAUAGGAAGAAACAAAAGGACGUACAAGAGGACAUUGGGUUGAAACGCAUGCUAAGGAUGCAUAUUAAGAAUUUCAAAAAAGUAUAGAAGAGUGGCGUCAAACACAACCUACUUCAGAGGAUGGUACCAUGGUCCAACCAUCACCUACAAAAAUGACUAAUAUGUGGACAGUUGUAGUAGGUGGUCCAAAGAAAGGUAGAACCUACGGGACAGGGAUUCUCUAAUCCUCGAGUAGUCCUUCGCUGUUUCCCAGUUCCUCUUCUAUUUUGCAAACUGGAGAAGAAAUGGAAGCGAUGAAAAAGCAAAUUGUGAAAUUGACGCAGAAAUGUGCAGCUAACGAUGCUAAGUUUGCUAAAUUUGAGGAGUUGAUGAAGAAGCAUAUGCCUCAAGCAUUUCAUGAUGAGGAAAAUAGUGAAUCUGAUGAUAAUUAGAUUGUAGUUAUUGUUCUUGUUUUUGGUUGUGACAUUUAGAUGUUUAAACUAUUUGAUUUGAUGUUUGUUUUGGAUGU
Long non-coding RNA from Capsicum annuum, 747 nucleotides. RefSeq lists it as uncharacterized. The transcript is spliced from 3 exons. The record is from RefSeq and is a predicted model, not a curated record. NCBI's taxonomy places the organism in Eukaryota, Viridiplantae, Streptophyta, Magnoliopsida, Solanales, Solanaceae.